CCCUUAGAUGUUCUGGGCCGCACGCGCGCUACACUGAUGCAUUCAACGAGUGUUUCCUUGGCCGAGAGGCCUGGGCAAUCUUUUGAAUGUGCAUCGUGAUAGGGAUAGAUUGUUGCAAUUAUUAAUCUUGAACGAGGAAUUCCUAGUAAACGCAGUUCAUCAAACUGCAUUGAUUACGUCCCUGCCCUUUGUACACACCGCCCGUCGCACCUACCGAUUGAAUGGUCCGGUGAAAUCUCGGGACGGCGGCUCGGUCGCUUGCGUCCGACUGCUGAAACUUGAUUAAACCAUAUCAUUUAGAGGAAGGUGAAGUCGUAACA
This 320-nucleotide ribosomal RNA is filed under the name uncultured eukaryote. RNAcentral describes it as "partial 18S ribosomal RNA". It matches the Rfam family "Eukaryotic small subunit ribosomal RNA", at positions 1470 to 1796 of the family's 1831-position model. The record is from RNAcentral.